UUUCAGGCUCCAUGCAAUUGAACAUCGCCCAACCCGGUCAGGAUCGGAAGGUAGCAGCCGUAAGUGAUUGUUUGAUGUGUCAUGACCCGCUUGAGAGGA
This 99-nucleotide signal recognition particle RNA is filed under the name Oceanispirochaeta sp. M1. Its description in RNAcentral is "Bacterial small signal recognition particle RNA". It matches the Rfam family "Bacterial small signal recognition particle RNA". Rfam says of the family: The signal recognition particle (SRP) is a universally conserved ribonucleoprotein involved in the co-translational targeting of proteins to membranes. Archaeal SRP consists of a 7S RNA and homologues of the eukaryotic SRP19 and SRP54 proteins. The record is from Rfam by way of RNAcentral. Lineage: Bacteria; Pseudomonadati; Spirochaetota; Spirochaetia; Spirochaetales; Spirochaetaceae. RNAcentral also lists the same sequence under 1 other name.